Molecule: ribosomal RNA, 497 nt
Filed under: uncultured bacterium
Lineage: Bacteria
Description: partial 16S ribosomal RNA
Rfam family: Bacterial small subunit ribosomal RNA
Source: RNAcentral
GAUGAACGCUGGCGGCGUGCCUAAUACAUGCAAGUCGAGCGAACAGACGAGGAGCUUGCUCCUCUGACGUUAGCGGCGGACGGGUGAGUAACACGUGGAUAACCUACCUAUAAGACGGGGAAAACUUCGGGAAAGCGGAGCUAAUACCGGAUAAGAUAUUGAACCGCAUGGUGCAAUAGUGAAAGACGGUUUUGCUGUCACGUAUAGAGGGAUCCGCGCCGCAUUAGCUGGUUGGUAAGGUAACGGCUUACCACGGGAACUAUGCGUAGCCGACCUGAGAGGGUGAUCGCCCACACUGGAAGUGAGACACCCUCCAGAGUCCUACGGGAGGGCGCAGUCGGGAAUGGUCCGCAAUGGGCGAAAGCCUGACGGAGCAACGCCGAGUGAGUGAUGACGGUCUUCCGAUCGUAAAACUCUGUUAUUAGGGAAGAACAAAUGUGUCAGUAACUAUGCACGUCUUGACGGUACCUAAUCAGAAAGCCACGGCUAACUACGUG